RNAcentral lists this long non-coding RNA (742 nucleotides) under Nicotiana tabacum (common tobacco). RNAcentral's name for it is "long non-coding RNA (NTAB_LNC016302)". The record is from RNAcentral. Lineage: Eukaryota; Viridiplantae; Streptophyta; Magnoliopsida; Solanales; Solanaceae.
GCUUUCUUCUUUAAAUCUUUCAAUGGUUUCCUCAGUGGUAUGGCUUUUCAUCAGAAUUGUUAUGUUGGGCAUGCCAUAGCGUUCUCAAACUGCUUCUUUUGAGACGUGUUCCUUCUUCCCUUUAAAUGUGCGCUUGCUUUUGCAGUUGUCUGCUUCUUGGUGCUGGGGAUUUUAUUGUUUCCCGUUUGGGGAUCUCUGUUGUAACCUUCUGUCUUCAGGUGGGGCUACUGAUUCCAAACUCUAGAGCUAAAAUGUAUUCCCACAUUAUGCUGGUGGGCGACCUAGAACUUAAAAUGUAUUCCCGCAUUAUACUGGUGGGCGACCUAGAACUUAAAAUGUGUUCCCGCAUUAUACUGGUGGGCGACCUAGAACUUAAAAGUAUUCCCGCAUUAUACUGGUGGGCGACCUAGAACUUACGUGUAUUUCCGCAUUAUACUGGUGGGCGACCUAGAACUUAAAUGUAUUUGAAAUUGUUUCCCCGUUCUUCCGAGAAAAGUUUUGACAAUCGGCAGAAAAUUUUCUGCCCCGGUUUUUGGUGAUUUCCCUGGCGUUGCAUCUCGCUGCCAUCAUCAAUCCUUUGUUUUCCUGCAGCGGACAAAAGGAUUUAUUUAGUUUUAAUCGUGGUGGUAGAGGGUGCCUUUCCGGCGGUUGAUUUUUCCUCUCUUCCCCUUUUUCUUGCUCUAUGUCCCCAUAAUUGGUUAGUGGACAAAAUUGCCUGCUGGGGGUCUCUAGCCUGCUGGGG